AUUGAAAGGCUUCAAUGAGAUGAUGUAUUUCAAGCUUCUACUAAAGUACUAGAGUAAGCAUUUAAUAUAUGAUAGAUGUUGUUGUUACUACCACAACAGCAUUUCAGCAAGACAAUUUAGAGAAAUUUAUUUUCUUCUGGUUUGACACAGUUAUCUAGAAAAAUAAUAGCAAUUAUUAUUGUUGUUGGCUUCAGAUCACUUCUCUCCAACACACUCAAGUUCUGCUGCCUCUUCACCAUGAUUUCAUCAUGAGUUGCACCCAACUGUUGAUUGGAGCAUUUCCCAGGAAAAAAACCUCCCUGCUAUGGUCCACUUCAUAAGCAAUUCUUGGAGGCGUACGUCCUUCUCAAAGCUUAUCCAGUUGGAUUUCUCUAAUUCCUGCGUGGGUUAAGCACAGGCUUUCCAUGAUUAUUUCCCAUCUAUGCCCUUCUCAAACAUGCUUGCUGCAUUUAACCUCAGGCUACAAAUAAUAUGUGCCAAUAAACAAUAUAGAUACAAUUCCUUCUGAUGUAGCAUUUACCCAAUAAGCUAGCCACAUUAGCUUCUUUUAUAUCACCUUACAUCAUACAGAUAAGAAACCAUCUGAUUCAGUUUAGACAAAGAGCCUUAUCAGAUAUAGGGCACUAAUUGCCUAGGUUAGAGAAUCAGGGAAGAGUUGACAUCAUUUUGCAAAAGUAGAUUUAUGUAGUAGAUCAGCAUGGUAUAUAAAUGCCUGGAGACCCUCACAGAAGAUCUGAGAAAUCAAAAUGCUAUUUUCUAAAAAGAUGUGUUUUUUGCCUUUUUCUGUGUUAACACUUUUUGGGUUUUUUCAUUUAUUUUUUUUAUUGGUACACAAAAACCAGAUACUGAUUGAGGUUAAAAUGCUAACUUGAACUGUAAAUGUCUUAAAAAGAGAGGAGAAAAGUCAAUGGGAUAAAAUUUAACAGAAUGAGUUCUGAAAUUUCAAUUUAAACAAAUUCUAUAAGUAUAAGUCAGAGGCUGGCAAUAGUACUUUGCUGUCAAAUUUAGUUGACCCCUGGUCAGUGGGAGAUUGUAGUGGGGGGUAUGGCUUCAUAAAAGCUAUCAAAAGCUUAUCCUGUGUUUAAUAGUAGUAGUAAUAAGUUAAAGCGUGUUUUGGUUAAAGAAUGAAUUCUGAUCAGAAAAAUGACUUACUCGAGCCUAAAUGUCAUAGAGCAAGAUGCAUGGAGGUAGCUGCCCAUGGCUGAGAGUUUUGCUUCAGUGAUUUGCUACUAUCUCUGGUAAUCUCUUAGCCUUUCCCUCAUGGUGACCAUCUCUCAGUCACAGAUGGCUGCUGCAACUUGGGCUAAUGUUCAAAUUGAAGGCAGGGAGAAGGCAAAAGAAUAGCCACAACCAUGUUUGUCCUUUUCCAAGCAACAAUGAGAAGGUUUCUCAUUGUCUAGAACUAAAAACAUGUGCUUUUUGCCUUUCUCUGUGUUAACAGUUUUUGGGUUUUUUCAUUUAUUUAUUUUUUAUUGGUGCAAAAAGCCAGAUAUUGAUUGAGGUUAAAAUGUUAACUUGAACUGUAAAUGCCUUUAAAAGAGAGGAGAAAAGUU
Molecule: long non-coding RNA, 1553 nt
Filed under: Marmota monax (woodchuck)
Lineage: Eukaryota; Metazoa; Chordata; Mammalia; Rodentia; Sciuridae
Source: RNAcentral